GGCCGCGUGGCUCAGUUGGUAGUAGCGCAAGACUGUUAAUCUUGAGGCCAAGGGUUCGAUCCCCUUCGUAGCAA
Non-coding RNA from Sphaeroforma arctica JP610, 74 nucleotides. The record is from Rfam. Lineage: Eukaryota; Ichthyosporea; Ichthyophonida.